Molecule: non-coding RNA, 149 nt
Filed under: uncultured Anaerobutyricum sp.
Lineage: Bacteria; Bacillati; Bacillota; Clostridia; Lachnospirales; Lachnospiraceae
Description: Moco (molybdenum cofactor) riboswitch
Rfam family: Molybdenum/Tungsten riboswitch aptamer (Moco RNA motif)
Source: RNAcentral
AAUCUCCGAGCCUAUAUUCCUAAGGUUUUUGCUAUGGGAUACAGGCCAGAAACAAUCAUUAAAAAACAGUUUUAUUAUCUGAUGAUCAUACGGUUUCUCAGGGUGUUGCCGGAAACAGCAGCGCCUCCCUACCCUUGGAAAGGAGAGAG